CCGAGAUGAACCCGCAGUUCUCUAACCCUCGGUCUGCAUGCAUCGUACAGGUACGCGGGUAUAGUGUUAUAUACAUGAUUGUUUUAUCAACAUAAUAAAAAUAACCAGGACAGUCCGGCAAAUCAAUAAUAAACUUGUUAAAAAACACCUCUGAAAUGUUUUGUAUUAUGAUAAAAUCUUUCGAAUAAACGAGGUGUGCUUUGUAACUAGUUUGUUGCGUGGUAGUGGCAGGCAAAACCUUCUAGUCGGACUUUGGCCUUCAGUUAGCUCCGCUUAGCUAGUAGUGCAUGUGGCUCGUGCUAUCCCCGAUGCGAUGCAUGGGCAAAGAGCGAAGCUCUGUUUGUUCUUGUAGCGCUCUGUCAAUUUGCAUUUCUAGACGAAAUCUUGAUUAAAUAUAACAGGAGCAGCAUCAAAAACAUUGGCUGAACAUUCAAGGGAUAAAUGCACAGGAGUUAAUCACUCACGAGAAUUAGUAAUCGAUCUAUGAGGAAGUAAACGCCUGACUGUGUUGUAAACAACAGUGCCUGAAUUCACGUGAGAAAUACCAAGCUUCAUGGAUGCUAUGAUGAUUUGCCCAUAGUGAAUGCUUAUGUACGAGUGACAUAUUAAACAGCAUUGGUCCAAACAUGGAGCCUUGUAUGAAUUCAAACGGGACGUAUAACUGCUCCAUAGGUUUUCCCGUAUUCAGUGUAACCCAACCAUCUUGGUGUUUAGAAUCUACGACAGAUGAGCCUUCAACAACCAUCACAGAUAGUAUUACUACUUUGGUAUCGAAUAUUACAACAUCCCUCUUUACGGAGCCAACUACCAGUAGCAGAGAUGAGCCUUCAACAACCAUCACAGAUAUUAUUACUACUUUGGUAUCGAAUGCUACAACAUCCCUCUUUACGGAGCCAGCUACCAUUAGUACAGGUAAAAAUGGUCAGAUUAUGUUUAAUGAAAAGCUUUUAA
Long non-coding RNA from Strongylocentrotus purpuratus (purple sea urchin), 951 nucleotides. RefSeq lists it as uncharacterized. NCBI's taxonomy places the organism in Eukaryota, Metazoa, Echinodermata, Echinoidea, Camarodonta, Strongylocentrotidae. The record is from RefSeq and is a predicted model, not a curated record. The transcript is spliced from 4 exons.